UACGGAGGGGGCUAGCGUUGUUCGGAAUUACUGGGCGUAAAGGGCGCGUAGGCGGCGCGAUAAGUUGGGCGUGAAAGGCCCGGGCUCAACCCGGGGACUGCGCUUGAUACUGUCGCGCUGUGAGUCCGGGAGAGGAUGGCGGAAUUCCCAGUGUAGAGGUGAAAUUCGUAGAUAUUGGGAAGAACACCGGUGGCGAAGGCGGCCAUCUGGACCGGCACUGACGCUGAGGCGCGAAAGCUAGGGUAGCAAACGGG
RNAcentral lists this ribosomal RNA (254 nucleotides) under uncultured bacterium. RNAcentral describes it as "partial 16S ribosomal RNA". It matches the Rfam family "Bacterial small subunit ribosomal RNA", at positions 524 to 776 of the family's 1533-position model. The record is from RNAcentral.